UCAUUGAAGAUAUGCCAGUGUUGUUUCUGCCCUUUUCUUAGGAUUAUAACAUCAUAUCUUGUAGGAAGAAGCUGAAAAAGUUACACAGCCCUUUCUAGAUGCUCUUGGCGAUGAUUAUUCAGUUUGUUGUCAAGGCACCGCAUUCUUUCCUAUACAAAGUUGUAUGAAUCAUUCUUGCUAUCCAAAUGCCAAAGCAUUCAAAAGAGAUGAGGAUAGAGAUGGCCAAGCAACAAUAAUAGCCCUGCGGCCCAUCUUGAAAGGAGAAGAGAUUACCAUUUCGUACAUUGAUGAGGACCUUCCGUACAAAGGGAGACAAGCUUUACUUGUGGAUUAUGGUUUCAGAUGUAGGUGCCCUAAGUGCCUUGAAGAAGAGGCCUAGAUCUUCUGCCUCCCAUCAAGUGAUUUUGGAGUCUUAGGACAGCACAUUUUGGGUCUUGGUACAUGUGGGCUCGUGUUUUCUCAAUCAAAAUGAUGUGAUUGAUAGGUUCCACCAUAGAUGGUGGACGCCCUAUUUGCAGUUUCCAUCUUAUAAGGUGACUGCCGCUUGUCAUUUGGCCUUUAUUGGGCGCCAUUGCUGCAAUGGCAUAUGUAGGGGCCUGCCUUGCAUUUUUUUUUCUUGAAUCACGAAUCACAACCUUAGAUCUACAUUGUUUUGGCACCAAUGUUCAAUCACCCAUAGAAGGACAUGCAUAUUUGUACUGUAAUUUAAUUAUAGACUGUUUAUAUAUUUUUGAUAAAAUAAUUUAUAUAUGGCAUUAACAGGAGAUGUUCUCAUAAAAAUUAUGCAACCUUUCUUGAAUGAGUACAUCUUCAAUAGAUGAAUGCAUAUUAGAUCUACUUAUUUUGUUGAAUGUACUUCUGCUUAGAUAUUGACACCUUGUUCGGAUAUACUUGGUUCCAUUGUUCUUCAAAUACUGAUGUAAUGUUUGGGUUUGUUCUUCACUUUUAAUGCGAUGCUUGGGUAUAUUUUGGAGCCAACCUCUUUUUCCAUGGGCAAAUAGAAAGGGUG
Molecule: long non-coding RNA, 1009 nt
Organism: Magnolia sinica
Lineage: Eukaryota; Viridiplantae; Streptophyta; Magnoliopsida; Magnoliales; Magnoliaceae
Exons: 4
Source: RefSeq, a predicted model, not a curated record